GGCACGGCACGGCAUGAUGCCGCUUGGCACGGCUCGGCACGGCAUGGCGCUGCUGGCGCGGCUUGGAUGGCAUGGCUUGCGUGACAUGGCAUGGCAUGGCAUGAUAUGGCAUGACACUGGUGGCACAGCGUGGCAUAGCUUGGCUGGAACGCCUUAGCAGGGCACAGCAUGGCACUGCUAACGCACCUUGGCACGGCUGACACGAGAUGGCACAGCUUGGAUGGCACGGCACUGCUUAGCACACCUCAGCAUGGCAUGGCUCAGCUGACAUGGCACUGCUGGCACAGCUUAGGAUGGCAUGGCAUGCCCAGCCUGGCUGAUCAUGGCAUGGCUCAGCUGGCACACCAUGGCAUGGCACUGCUGCCCUGGCACGGCUUAGAUAGGAUCAGCCUGGCACAGCUUGGCAUGGCACAGCUCAGGACCCCUGUGCCAGUGGCUCCUGCACCCAAACCUGCGCCCAGUGCCUGUGCCCUGCCACCGCCCUGCCCCAGCAGCCAGCUGGGCCUUAACUCAGAGCUCUCACAAAGUGACAAUUCCCUUGUGAACCUACAACUCCUUUUUUCUGAGCAUUUUCUCCUUUCUUUGGUUUGCUGAGUCUUAAAAGUCUUCAGGUGCCAGUGCAGGCUGCUGUAUAACUAAUUAACUUCCAACAAUUAACUUCCUAUUUCUAGUUACCUUUUCCAGACAUUCUUGAAUUAAUUUCACAAACCCCUGGGGCUUCAGUUUUGAGGGGGGGGGGGGCUGAAAACCAACGAAGCUCAGCCAGGCUCUAUCCAUGAGGAGCCAAGGCACAUGGAUAAAUCCUGGAGCUUUACCCAAGCGACGUUGUGCAUCUGACCGCAAGAUUGAUUCAAUCCGGACAGCGGGAUGUAAGCAGAGAGGCGCUGCCGUUCAAAGGAGCCAUUCAAGGAAGGAGGAAAAGGAGGAAACAGAAAAAAAGGCUUUCCUCAAAGUCACUCGAGUUGUUCGCCAACAACAACACGGCCUUAACAGAGCAACCCAAAAUCAGGUGAGACGAGUGCGUAAGAGCAGCAGCGAUGCCGCCGGAGCGGAGCAAGGGCACGGAGCAGCGAUGCCCCCGGGGCUGUUUGUCCUUCCCCGAACCUCGGGUCAUGCCCAAGGCCUGAUCCAGCCCCGGUGCUGGCACACAGAGACCAUUUCUGGGUCAGCUUGUGCUUGCUGGAUUAAAGCUUCAUCAGAGGGAUGUCAUGGGUAAUGGUGAAUCUUGCUCCAUGCUGGUGCCCUUCCUGGAGCCCGUUGGAUCCUCUGCUCUAAAAUCCACGAGGAUUUAUUUAAGGAGAGCAGUAACCAGAGGGGAGAAAGUUAAACUUCCCUGUUCCAUGUCCAGUUCUGCUCCAUGAUGAGCCCCUCUCUGCUCAGAGAUUGCACAAGUUCAAAUAAAAGCAAGACCCUUGCCCAGCAAAAAUAACACCAGCACCAAAGGAAAAGCAAAAUAUUUGGAAGAGAAGCAAAGCUGAAGAAUCCUCGGGGAGCACUUUCACCAAUGACUGAUGAUGUUUUUGUCCCUAAGCAGGACUUGCCCCACCUGGGCUUCCAUGAAGGAGGUUAGAUUUUGCCAAGGAUGAGUUCCUGUGCAGAGCCCUAAUGAAGCCCAGGGACUCCGACAUCUUUGUGACCUGUGAAGUGAGGCUAGGGAAGAGGGAAGUGAGUUUUUCUUUAAGUUCAAGAUGUUUCAGUAACUUGGGAUGAGUCUGAGCAGGGAGUUUGCUGUCCCAUGGCACUGGCAUCCUGAGUGCCAGGGGGUGCAGAGCAGGCAGGACGGAGAGAGGCCUCCGAGCGCUGCAACCUGCACGGAAAAUUGUGGUGGGAUAAGAUAAGACAUGAAUUUAAAUCGCUGUAACUCUCCUCUGCUGUGCUUUGACUCUGGAAUAAAUCUCUCCUGUUUCAUUGCUGUGGGACACAGUUUAAGGGAAAACAGGAUAAGUGGAGCUGGGGGUUGUGUGGGGUGCGGGGGGCCAGGCACCAUCUCCCACCUCUGCAGGGCGCUGAGGGGACAUCUGCCGUGAGGGACCGGGCAGAGGGACAGCCCGUGCUCGGUGGGUCCCCGGACGGGUCCCACGGGGGUUCCAGUCAGUGUGGGGGGAGCUGGGGGAUGGCUCCAGCCCCCACUGCAGGAUGAGGAUCCAGGGCACAUCCUAAAUCUGAGCCUUUCUCUGCGCCUCGGUGCCUGUUGUACACCUGCUGCUUCCCAGGUAAAUCCUCCCUCGCCCACCCCGCAGCCCCUCCAGCUGCUCCCUGGAAGCAAAACCUUCGGAAUCAGCGUUUUCCCUGCCCUGCUCCAUCCCAGAGUCCCUCCACUCCCCACGCAGCACCAGCCCAGGCCUUGCUUUUAGCUGCAGAACAAGUGCAUAAAAAUGAUCUUAUUUAUUACAGGAGACAUGUUUU
This is a long non-coding RNA of Corvus hawaiiensis (hawaiian crow), 2406 nucleotides long. RefSeq lists it as uncharacterized. The record is from RefSeq and is a predicted model, not a curated record. Lineage: Eukaryota; Metazoa; Chordata; Aves; Passeriformes; Corvidae. The transcript is spliced from 2 exons.